Non-coding RNA from Alexandromys fortis (reed vole), 73 nucleotides. NCBI's taxonomy places the organism in Eukaryota, Metazoa, Chordata, Mammalia, Rodentia, Cricetidae. The record is from the annotation of a RefSeq genome assembly.
AGGGAUGUGGCUCAGUUGGUAGAGUGUUUGCCUACCAUGUAUGAAGUCCUGGGUUCAAUCCCCAGCAUCUCCC